Molecule: ribosomal RNA, 1383 nt
Filed under: Phacus orbicularis
Lineage: Eukaryota; Euglenozoa; Euglenophyceae; Euglenales; Phacaceae
Description: bacterial SSU rRNA
Rfam family: Bacterial small subunit ribosomal RNA
Source: RNAcentral
CGGUAUGCUUAACACAUGCAAGUUUAACGACGAAAGUCGUGACGUACGGGUGAGUAACGCGUGAGUUAUCUACACUUAGGAGAGGGAUAACAGAUGGAAACGUUUGCUAAUACCUCGUAAAGCUUUUUAGUUAAAGUUAAAGAUUUAUCGCCUAGGUAUGAGCUUGCGUCCGAUUAGCUAGUUGGUAAGGUAAAGGCUUACCAAGGCAACGAUCGGUAGUUGUUUCGAGAGAAAGGACAGCCACACUGGGACUGAGACACGGAACAGACUUCUACGGAAGGCAGCAGUGGGGAAUUUUUGGCAAUGGGUGAGAGCCUGACCAAGCAAUACCGCGUGGAGGAAGAAGGUUUUAGGAUUGUAAACUCCUUUUUUCAUUGAAGAAAAUAUGACGGUAAAUGAAGAAUAAGCAUCAGCUAAUUUCGUGCCAGCAGCUGCGGUAAUACGAGAGAUGCAAGCGUUAUCCGGAAUUAUUGGGCGUAAAGCGUUUGUAGAUGGUUUAAUAAGUUUAGUGUCAAAUCUUGAAGCUUAACUUCAAUACGGCAUUAAAAACUAUUAGUCUAGAGUGCGAUAGGGGUAAAGGGAAUUUCCAGUGUAGCGGUGAAAUGCGUAGAUAUUGGAAAGAACACCAACGGCGAAAGCACUUUACUAGGUUGUUACUGACAUUGAGAGACGAAAGCUAGGGGAUCAAAAAGGAUUAGAUACCCUUGUAGUCCUAGCUGUAAACGAUGGAUACUAAAUGGUGCUUUUUGUACUGUUGUAGCUAACGCGUUAAGUAUCCCGCCUGGGGAGUACGCUUGCAAAAGUGAAACUCAAAGGAAUUGGCGGGGACCUGCACAAACAGUGGAGCAUGUGGUUUAAUUCGAUGGUACACGAAGAACCUUACCAGGGUUUGACAUGUCAAGAAGUUUUCUGAAAGGAAGAUGUGCCUUUAUUGGAAUUUGACACAGGUGGUGCAUGGCUGUCGUCAGCUCGUGUCGUGAGAUAUUGGGUUAAGUCCCGUAACGAGCGCAACCCUUUUUUUUAGUUGUUUUCUAGAAAUACUGCCGGUGAUAAAUCGGAGGAAGGUGAGGAUGACGUCAAGUCAGCAUGCCCCUUAUGCCCUGGGCUACACACGUGCUACAAUGAUCAAUACAACGAGUAGCGAACUUGCAAAAGUAAGCAAAUCUCUAAAAGUUGGUCUUAGUUCGGAUUAUAGACUGCAACUCGUCUAUAUGAAGCCGGAAUUGUUAGUAAUCGCCGGUCAGCUAUACGGUGGUGAAUACGUUCUCAGGUCUUGCACACACCGCCCGUCACACCAUGGAAAUUGUCUAAACUCGAAGUAGUUUUCUUAUAGAUAAGCUACUAAGGUUGGGGUGGUAACUAGGGUGAAGUCGUAACAAGGUA